CAAGGCAGAUAUAUAGUUGCCUCGUUUCAAAAUUAAAACGGGGAGGAAAGUCCGGACUCCAGCCAGAGCUUCGCUCUGGUUAUGGGUAGUGGAUAACAUCCACCGGGGGAAACCCUAGGGAAAGUGCCGCAGAGACUAUACUAGUUUCGACAUAUGUCGAGAUAAAAGGUGAAAAGUUUUUAGGUGUUAUUUGUUCUCGAGACAAAUGGCUACUAAUUUCGACUGCUGGUGACAGCAUGUUCGUGGUAAACCCUACCUGGAGCAAGAACAAAGCCAGAACGAAGUUCUAGAAAUUCUAAAAAAUACUCUUGUCAUUUCGCAAGGAGCGAGAGCGAAUGGAGAAAUCCCUUAGACGUGAAGCUAUUUGCAUUUAAGAGAUCUCUCCGCUUCGCUACGAGAUGACAAAACAGUAUUUAGUUUGGAGUUUGCAGAACUUCGCUCUGGUUAUAAGUAGUUCGCAUGAGCUUACUGGUAACAGUAGGCCUAGAUAAAUAACUAUACAUAGAAGCUACUGGCUAUAAUUUCAUUGCAAA
Molecule: RNase P RNA, 533 nt
Rfam family: Bacterial RNase P class A
About the family: Ribonuclease P (RNase P) is a ubiquitous endoribonuclease, found in archaea, bacteria and eukarya as well as chloroplasts and mitochondria. Its best characterised activity is the generation of mature 5'-ends of tRNAs by cleaving the 5'-leader elements of precursor-tRNAs.